Molecule: ribosomal RNA, 424 nt
Filed under: uncultured bacterium
Lineage: Bacteria
Description: bacterial SSU rRNA
Rfam family: Bacterial small subunit ribosomal RNA
Source: RNAcentral
GGGGAAUAUUGGACAAUGGGCGAAAGCCUGACGCAGCGACGCCGCGUGCGGGAGGACGCUUUUCGGAGUGUAAACCGCUGUCAGAGGGGAAGAAAUGCCACCUGAGGAAAUGCGGGUGGUUUGACGGUACCCUCAAAGGAAGCACCGGCUAACUCUGUGCCAGCAGCCGCGGUAAUACAGAGGGUGCGAGCGUUGUUCGGAAUUACUGGGCGUAAAGCGCGCGCAGGCGGCCCGUUAAGUCUGUCGGUCAAACGCCGGGGCUCAACCCCGUGCUCGCCGGAGAUACUGGAGGGCUGGAGACAGGUAGAGGCAGGCGGAAUUCCGGGUGUAGCGGUGGAAUGCGUAGAGAUCCGGAAGAACACCAGAGGCGAAGGCGGCCUGCUGGGCCUUGUCUGACGCUGAGGCGCGAAAGCGUGGGGAGCGA